CGUACGAAUUCACAAGUGCGACAGAGUAUGCGCCAAAAGUAUUUAUCAUUCACUGAACCUCUACUACCCCUAGUGUAGUGUAUCAUUCGAUAGCGUGACGAGCGUUCGCGUAUUAAUCCAGUAACUUUGUCGAAUUUUGUAACCUGGCUCUUUUGCGUCAAAUCCGGUAGUUCUGAUUUUUUGCAGACUUGUUUAUGAUGUUGGCCCAAUGAAUAAUCCAAGUUUGUGACUUCGAGCGCCGAACGCAACUUUGUCAAAAAUCUAAUAAACCGCAAUUUUUUUUAGAUUUGGGCGAUUAUAACCCUAAAGUGCUAGUUUUUGGUAGUAACUUCCUAGGGCGUUUUUAAAGUAGACUAAAUUUGCUACAAUAAGACACUAGAAUUGUCUCUGUACAUCUAAUAUUUUCCGAGAUAAAGCCUUUCAAAAUUUUAUAAUUUUACAUCAGUUCUUAGCUAUAAUAUAAGGGUUAGGUUGGUAAUUUAUAUGGAAUUCAUCACCGGCACGUUCUACAAAAUAUUUAUUUUCCAUAAAAAAAUGUAUGAGUGCCUAUUUUGAAAAAUUAUUU
Long non-coding RNA from Cydia splendana, 565 nucleotides. RefSeq lists it as uncharacterized. The record is from RefSeq and is a predicted model, not a curated record. The transcript is spliced from 2 exons. Lineage: Eukaryota; Metazoa; Arthropoda; Insecta; Lepidoptera; Tortricidae.